AACUCUCGGCAACGGAUAUCUCGGCUCUUGCAUCGAUGAAGAACGCAGCGAAAUGUGAUAAGUGGUGUGAAUUGCAGAAUCCCGUGAACCAUCGAGUCUUUGAACGCAAGUUGCGCCCGAGGCCAUCAGCUAAGGGCACGCCUGCCUGGGCGUUGCGUGCUGCAUCUCUCCCAUUG
RNAcentral lists this ribosomal RNA (176 nucleotides) under Phragmipedium vittatum. Its description in RNAcentral is "partial 5.8S ribosomal RNA". The stretch from base 1 to 155 matches the Rfam family "5.8S ribosomal RNA". Rfam says of the family: 5.8S ribosomal RNA (5.8S rRNA) is a component of the large subunit of the eukaryotic ribosome. Lineage: Eukaryota; Viridiplantae; Streptophyta; Magnoliopsida; Asparagales; Orchidaceae. The record is from RNAcentral.